ACGAACGCUGGCGGCAUGCCUAACACCUGCAAGUCGAGCGAGACCUUCGGGUCUAGUGGCGCACGGGUGCGUAACGCGUGGGAACCUGCCCUUAGGUUCGGAAUAACUCCCCGAAAGGGGUGCUAAUACCGGAUAAUGUCUUCGGACCAAAGAUUUAUCGCCUUUGGAUGGGCCCGCGUUGGAUUAGCUAGUUGGUAGGGUAAAAGCCUACCAAGGCGACGAUCCAUAGCUGGUCUGAGAGGAUGAUCAGCCACACUGGGACUGAGACACGGCCCAGACUCCUACGGGAGGCAGCAGUGGGGAAUAUUGGACAAUGGGCGAAAGCCUGAUCCAGCAAUGCCGCGUGAGUGAUGAAGGCCUUAGGGUUGUAAAGCUCUUUUACCCGGGAUGAUAAUGACAGUACCGGGAGAAUAAGCUCCGGCUAACUCCGUG
RNAcentral lists this ribosomal RNA (432 nucleotides) under uncultured bacterium. RNAcentral's name for it is "partial 16S ribosomal RNA". It matches the Rfam family "Bacterial small subunit ribosomal RNA", at positions 29 to 507 of the family's 1533-position model. The record is from RNAcentral.